CGGGCUUGAACUGCGCAGGAAGGAUGCAGAGAUGCUGACGCCCUUCGGGGCCUGCGUGGAGGUGCUGCAUGGUUGUCGUCAGCUCGUGCCGUGAGGUGUCGGCUUAAGUGCCAUAACGAGCGCAACCCCUGUCGUCAGUUGCCAUCAGGUGAUGCUGGGCACUCUGGCGAUACUGCCACCGCAAGGUGCGAGGAAGGUGGGGAUGACGUCAAAUCAGCACGGCCCUUACGUCCGGGGCUACACACGUGUUACAAUGGCGUGUACAGAGAGUCGGCUCUUGGCAACAAGGGUCCAAUCAACAAAACACGUCUCAGUUCGGAUUGGGGUCUGCAACCCGACCCCAUGAAGCUGGAUUCGCUAGUAAUCGCGCAUCAGCCAUGGCGCGGUGAAUACGUUCCCGGGCC
Molecule: ribosomal RNA, 404 nt
Filed under: uncultured bacterium
Lineage: Bacteria
Description: bacterial SSU rRNA
Rfam family: Bacterial small subunit ribosomal RNA
Source: RNAcentral